RNAcentral lists this ribosomal RNA (341 nucleotides) under Equus caballus (horse). Its description in RNAcentral is "partial 12S ribosomal RNA". It matches the Rfam family "Bacterial small subunit ribosomal RNA", at positions 459 to 917 of the family's 1533-position model. Lineage: Eukaryota; Metazoa; Chordata; Mammalia; Perissodactyla; Equidae. The record is from RNAcentral.
GAACGAAAGUUCGACUAAGUCAUAUUAAAUAAGGGUUGGUAAAUUUCGUGCCAGCCACCGCGGUCAUACGAUUAACCCAAAUUAAUAAACCCUCCGGCGUAAAGCGUGUCAAAGACUAAUACCAAAAUAAAGUUAAAACCCAGUUAAGCCGUAAAAAGCUACAACCAAAGUAAAAUAGACUACGAAAGUGACUUUAAUACCUCUGACUACACGAUAGCUAAGACCCAAACUGGGAUUAGAUACCCCACUAUGCUUAGCCCUAAACUAAAAUAGCUUACCACAACAAAGCUAUUCGCCAGAGUACUACUAGCAACAGCCUAAAACUCAAAGGACUUGGCGGU